RNAcentral lists this ribosomal RNA (232 nucleotides) under uncultured bacterium. RNAcentral's name for it is "partial 16S ribosomal RNA". It matches the Rfam family "Bacterial small subunit ribosomal RNA", at positions 104 to 334 of the family's 1533-position model. The record is from RNAcentral.
CGGGGUGAGUAACGCGUGGGUAACCUACCCUGUACACACAGAUAACAUGCCGAAAGGUAUGCUAAUACGGGAUAAUAUAUUCGAGAGGCAUCUCUUGAAUAUCAAAGGUGAGCCAGUACAGGAUGGACCCGCGUCUGAUUAGCUAGUUGGUAAGGUAACGGCUUACCAAGGCGACGAUCAGUAGCCGACCUGAGAGGGUGAUCGGCCACAUUGGAACUGAGACACGGUCCAA